UACAGAGGUCUCGAGCGUUAGGCGGAAUCACUGGGCUUAAAGCGUGUGUAGGCGGAUCGGUAAGUACCUUGUGAAAUCCCACAGCUUAACUGUGGAACUGCUUGGUAUACUGCCAGCCUUGAGCCACUUAGGGGCUACCGGAACAAAUGGUGGAGCGGUGAAAUGCGUAGAUAUCAUUUGGAACGCCAAUGGUGAAAACAGGUAGCUAGGAGUGUGCUGACGCUGAGACACGAAAGCCAGGGGAGCAAACGGG
RNAcentral lists this ribosomal RNA (253 nucleotides) under uncultured bacterium. RNAcentral describes it as "partial 16S ribosomal RNA". It matches the Rfam family "Bacterial small subunit ribosomal RNA", at positions 524 to 776 of the family's 1533-position model. The record is from RNAcentral.